This 64-nucleotide transfer RNA is filed under the name Arcotheres purpureus. RNAcentral's name for it is "tRNA-Pro". Lineage: Eukaryota; Metazoa; Arthropoda; Malacostraca; Decapoda; Pinnotheridae. The record is from RNAcentral.
UCAGAGGGAAAGAAGCAUCUUUAUCUUUAAUUCCCAAAACUAAUAUUUUUUAAACUACCCCCUG